RNAcentral lists this ribosomal RNA (459 nucleotides) under uncultured bacterium. Its description in RNAcentral is "bacterial SSU rRNA". It matches the Rfam family "Bacterial small subunit ribosomal RNA", at positions 355 to 804 of the family's 1533-position model. The record is from RNAcentral.
UGGGGAAUUUUGGACAAUGGGGGCAACCCUGAUCCAGCCAUGCCGCGUGAGUGAAGAAGGCCUUCGGGUUGUAAAGCUCUUUCGGCGGGGACGAAACGGUCCGUGACAACACCACGGACUAAUGACAGUACUCGCAGAAGAAGCACCGGCUAACUACGUGCCAGCAGUCGCGGUAAUACGUAGGGUGCAGGCGUUAAUCGGAAUUACUGGGCGUAAAGGGCUCGUAGGUGGCCAACUAAGUCAGACGUGAAAUCCCUCGGCUUAACCGGGGAACUGCGUCUGAUACUGGAUGGCUUGAGUUUGGGAGAGGGAUGCGGAAUUCCAGGUGUAGCGGUGAAAUGCGUAGAUAUCUGGAGGAACACCGGUGGCGAAGGCGGCUCACUGGUCCGGUACUGACGCUGAGGUGCGAAAGCGUGGGGAGCAAACAGGAUUAGAUACCCGAGUAGUCCCUGAGCGGGC